CGUAGGGUCCGAGCGUUGUCCGGAAUUAUUGGGCGUAAAGGGCUCGUAGGCGGUUUGUCACGUCGGGCGUGAAAACUCAGGGCUCAACCCUGAGCGUGCGUCCGAUACGGGCAGACUAGAGGUAUGCAGGGGAGAACGGAAUUCCUGGUGUAGCGGUGGAAUGCGCAGAUAUCAGGAGGAACACCGGUGGCGAAGGCGGUUCUCUGGGCAUUACCUGACGCUGAGGAGCGAAAGCAUGGGGAGCGAACAGGAUUAGAUACCCUGGUAGUCCAUGCCGUAAACGUUGGGCGCCAGGUGUGGGGACCUUCCACGGUCUCCGUGCCGCAGCUAACGCAUUAAGCGCCCCGCCUGGGGAGUACGGCCGCAAGGCUA
Molecule: ribosomal RNA, 372 nt
Filed under: uncultured organism
Description: bacterial SSU rRNA
Rfam family: Bacterial small subunit ribosomal RNA
Source: RNAcentral